AAGUCGUAACAAGGUAACCGUAGGUGAACCUGCGGUUGGAUCAUUAACAAAUUCAAUCAAAAAAUUGAGGGUAACCUCUUUUUUUUACACACAAUGUGAACUGUUUAUUGUCUCUGGGUGGUUCUUUAGGAUUUUUAUCAAAUCCUAACCCACCUACUUUUAUAAAACUUACUAUUAAUUGGCCUUUAAAUCUUAUAAAAAAAGUUAAAUUAAAAAACAACUUUUGGCAACGGAUCUCUAGGCUCUU
RNAcentral lists this unclassified non-coding RNA (247 nucleotides) under fungal sp. RNAcentral's name for it is "partial internal transcribed spacer region". The stretch from base 1 to 46 matches the Rfam family "Eukaryotic small subunit ribosomal RNA", at positions 1786 to 1831 of the family's 1831-position model. Lineage: Eukaryota; Fungi. The record is from RNAcentral. RNAcentral also lists the same sequence under 1 other name.